RNAcentral lists this ribosomal RNA (332 nucleotides) under uncultured bacterium. RNAcentral's name for it is "partial 16S ribosomal RNA". It matches the Rfam family "Bacterial small subunit ribosomal RNA", at positions 338 to 667 of the family's 1533-position model. The record is from RNAcentral.
CCUACGGGAGGCAGCAGUGAGGAAUAUUGGGCAAUGGAGGAAACUCUGAACCAGCCAUGCCGCGUGAGUGAAGAAUGCUCUAGAAGUUGUAAGCUUCUUCUGUAGUGAAGUUGAAUGUUCCAAGAUUUGAAUUAUCUAUGUAACAUUUCAUUCCAGAUCGGCUAACUCUAUGCCAGCAGCCGCGGUAAUACGGAGUUUCUGGGCGUUAUGCGGAUGUAGUGGGGGUAAAGGGAGCGUAGGUGGAUAAGUAAGGUAGUUGUGAAAGUUCGCGGCUCAACCGGGAAACUGCAGUUAAAACUAGUAGUCUAGAGUAUAGGAGAGGAUAUCGGAAU